Canis lupus familiaris (dog) is the source of this 1271-nucleotide long non-coding RNA. RefSeq lists it as uncharacterized. The transcript is spliced from 3 exons. NCBI's taxonomy places the organism in Eukaryota, Metazoa, Chordata, Mammalia, Carnivora, Canidae. The record is from RefSeq and is a predicted model, not a curated record.
CCCCACAUGGCUGGCUUUCAAACAUGCCUUCAAGUGUGUGCUUUACUAUAAAAGUGAGGGGCUGCCCGCCAUGAACCUGCAAAGGUCAGCCGGGCCAGGAUGACAGCCGGGGAUGGACUGCCUUACUCGGUGGGGGGUCUGCGGGCCUGAGUGGCCCCUCUUGCGUCGGUGCUGCUCACAAUGCUAGGCCCUUUCUCGGCCGCAGCUCUGCAGUCACACCGGGCUCCUUGCCCAGUAAGGAGGCUCUGUACCCAAAACACCAAAUGAAACCAUCGGUGACUGGUAGAGUGCAUCCCUGGCUAAGAAGCUGUUCUGACCCACCCAAGGUCCCGGAACCCAACUGCAGCCCCCAGUGGCUAUGACAUUGUAAGUUUUCAGAUCUAUGACACUGAGGGGGAGAUGCAAGACCAAGGACAGCACAGUGGUUAAGAGCAUGGGUUUGCUGGUAAGGGUGACCCUGUGAGUUCCUUAAGUAAAGUACCAGAUAAUCUUUAAAAUCAAAAGAGAAUGGGUUUGGGAAUCAGAUAGGAGAUUAAAUCUUCUUUCUCUCACUUCUUAGCUCUGUGCCUUCACAAUGAGUUUACCUCAGUUAUCGAACCUAUAAAAUGGGAUAAUACCGCUGAGCUCACAGUGGGGUGGACAGAGGAGAGAGAGAGAAAAUCCAGCUUUGGCAAUGAAGACAGCGCCUCGCAGGUGACAAUGGAGGCUGUUUUGUAAUUGCCCGUGUUGUUAUUACAGUGGAAGGCCUUUCUCAUCAAACCCCCACUUUGAACACGUCGACAUGUUCAAGUCAGGACUCUUUAUAAAAGGAUGUCCGACAAGAGAACUGUGAUGCCUUUAAAAUCAACAAAAGGAUAGGGGUACCCUCCCUCCGGCUGCGGCAGUGAGAGCAGGCUGCCACCACACAGGCUCCUCUCUGACCAAGAACGUGGGAACCUGAGGGUGGGGACGCCUGGCAGGCGACGGCAGGCGCCUUCCUUGGUCCAUCAUCUAAAGGAAGGAGCUGCUGAACCAGCACACUUCUUUCCUGAACCAGAUCAUCUAGAAGGAUGCACCUGUUUCGAUCUGAUGUUCAUCAUGUACAGUAUGUAUUUUUUGCCUCGGUUGCAGAUUUAAGCAGAUGGUUGAAGAAGCUUCUAAAGACCAAGAGUGGAGACAUUUCUACGAUGGGACUGCCCUUUACCUUGACUUUUCUUACCUCAACAUCUUUCUUCAGUUUUUCCAGGAACACCUUUUUGUUGUUGUCAUCAAUAUAAAUCUUUUGACCCUCA